This is a ribosomal RNA of Neurospora crassa OR74A, 1417 nucleotides long. NCBI's taxonomy places the organism in Eukaryota, Fungi, Ascomycota, Sordariomycetes, Sordariales, Sordariaceae. The record is from RefSeq and is a predicted model, not a curated record.
UUAAUAUUCUUUAAAAAUCUAUAGGAGGGAAUAAUUCUUAUACUAAAUUAUACUUAUAACUAUAGUAGGUCUUUAAGGUAAAUAGCCUUUGGUUGAUAGAAUAAUAUAAAUAAAGGAAGUUAGUAAAAUAGAUUUAUAAUUUUAAGAAAAGGAUUAGCUCUAAGGGUUAGGUAUAUUGGGUUUUGGGUAGACGCUUUAGGAGUAAAUUACUACUAGUUAGAUAAUUAACCGGCGGCUUUUAGUAUCCGGGUAUAAAAGCCCUUAAUAAAUUUCGGUUGUCCGGCGUACGUUUAAUAAUUAAUUUAGAAUUAGUAUAGAUAGGGGGAAUUUAAUUAUCUAAUUAAAAUAUAGUAUUAUAAUAGUUAGAAAGUAGUGUUAAUGCAAUAUAAUUUCUGCCUAGUGCUUUGAAUAUUAAAGUAAAGAAAUUUAAUUAAGUAUAAGUAAAUAGUAGGAAUAAUUAUAAUUUUUUUAAAGUAGUUAAAUACUUUAUUAUUUAAUUAGUAAUAUAUAUAAAUAGAUUAACGAGAUUCCUACUAUCCCUAUUUAUUAUUUAGCGAAAUUAUAGCUAAGGGAAUAAGUUUAGUAAAAUUAGUAGGGAAAGAAGACUCUAUUAAACUUAACUUUAAUUUAAUAUUAUAAAAAGAUAUAGGAAAUAUAAAAUAGGUAGGAGCUUCAGCGCUAGUAAAAUACUACUAUUCUUAUUAUUUUUUUACUUAUUUAAUUAAGCGGGGCUAGAUUUUCGUCCAACUUCUAAUUUUAAAGUCUUUUACAAACCGACCCGGGUUAAAGAUAUUGUUAGGUAGGGAGUUUGGCUAAAGUAGUAUAUUUAUUAAACUAUAAUGUAGGUAUCCUAAGGGGGGCUUAUAGAAAAUAGAAAUCUCUAGUAAAAUAAAAGGGUAAAAGUCCCUUUAAUUUUAAUUUUUAGUAUAAAUACAAACUAUAAAAGUAUAGCCUAUUAAUCCUUUAGUCCCUCGAAAUUUAAAGCUAGAAGUACUAGAAAAGUUACUAUAGGGAUAAUUGGCUUAUAGCGGCCAAAUGUUUAUAACAAUAUUACUUUUUAAUCCUUCAAUAUUAGUUCUUCCUAUUAUACUGAAAUAGAAUUCAAUAAACAUUAAAUUAUUUACUUACUAAUAAGGAACGUAAACUAGGUUUAAACUAUCGUAAAAUAAGUUAAUUUUACCCUACUAAUAACUUUAUUACAAUAGUAAUUAAACUUAAUAUAAAAGGAACUAUUUAUUUAAAUAAUUAGUUUUUAUAAUUAUUCGACUAGGUAGUACCGCAACGCUACUAUCUAUUAAAUAAUAAUUGAACGCCUCUAAAUUAGAAUUUAUAUUAGAAUGUAAUAAUACUUCUAGUAUAUUAUAGAUAUAUAAAAAUAGGCUCCGGCCUUAUAUUUUAGUAAGCGAUUCCUCUAUUA